GAGGAAUAUUGGUCAAUGGGCGAGAGCCUGAACCAGCCAAGUAGCGUGCAGGAUGACGGCCCUAUGGGUUGUAAACUGCUUUUGUAUGGGGAUAAAGUCAAUCACGUGUGAUUGUUUGCAGGUACCAUACGAAUAAGGACCGGCUAAUUCCGUGCCAGCAGCCGCGGUAAUACGGAAGGUCCGGGCGUUAUCCGGAUUUAUUGGGUUUAAAGGGGGCGUAGGCUGGAGAUUAAGUGUGUUGUGAAAUGUAGACGCUCAACGUCUGACUUGCAGCGCAUACUGGUUUCCUUGAGUACGCACAACGUUGGCGGAAUUCGUCGUGUAGCGGUGAAAUGCUUAGAUAUGACGAAGAACUCCGAUUGCGAAGGCAGCUGACGGGAGCGCAACUGACGCUGAAGCUCGAAGGUGCGGGUAUCGAACAGGAUUAGAUACCCUGGUAGUCCGCACAGUAAACGAUGGAUGCCCGCUGUUGGUACCUGGUAUCAGCGGCUAAGCGAAAGCAUUAAGCAUCCCACCUGGGGAGUACGCCGGCAACGGUG
This 539-nucleotide ribosomal RNA is filed under the name uncultured bacterium. RNAcentral's name for it is "bacterial SSU rRNA". It matches the Rfam family "Bacterial small subunit ribosomal RNA", at positions 356 to 896 of the family's 1533-position model. The record is from RNAcentral.